AUGAAAUUUUGGUUCAGUAAAAAGAAAAACAGUAGUGAAAGCAACAAUAAUACAGAAAAAAAAAACGAUGAAAUAUACAAAGCCAUUUUAAAAAAUAGGGAAGCAAUAGCUGCAUUGGAAAAAAAGCAGAUUCAAGUUGAAAAAAGAAUUAAGCAACUAGAAGUUGAAGCUAAAGCACAUGUAACCGAGAAUAGAAUGAAUAGUGCAAAAAUAUUAUUAAAAAGAAAAAAAUUGUAUGAACAAGAAAUAGAAAAUAUUAUAAAUAAUAAACUAACCUUAGAAGAUAAUAUGAUAAGUCUAGAGAACAUGCAUUUGCAUAAAAUCGCUGUUAACGCUUUAUCAUAUACUGCUAAUACUCAUAAAAAAAUGAAUAACGAAAUAAAUGUACAAAAAGUUGAAAAAGUUAUUGAUAGUAUACAAGAUAUUAAGGACACACAAGAAGAAAUUAACCAAGCUUUGAAUUUUAAUGCAUUAAAUAAUAUAGAUGAUGAUGAAAUAGCUGAACAACUUAAUUUACUGAAGGAACAAACUAUACAAGAAAAAAUUAGUGCUAAUGUUAAUAAUGUUACAACAUUACCAGCAGUUAUGGAAGACAAUACUGAAGUCAAAGUGAAAUCCAAUGAAAAGGAGGAUAAAGUUGUCAUUGAAGAAUCGGAUGAUGAAGAACUUAAAGAAUUAAUUGAAGAAUUAGCAUAAAGACAAAAAAGAAAACAUCUUGUUCUUAUGCUUUUUUUUUAUUUGUUUUGAAAUACAAAAACACAUUAGUUUAAUUAAUUGUUUCCAAUUUUUUGUUAUAAUAAUUCGUUUUUUUUUUCUUUUUUCGUUUCCUUUUUCUUUUUCACACAUUUAUCCCAUGCUGUAUACAGUUUUUAUUACUUUUUUUUUAUUUAUAUGAAAAUUUUUAAACGAAAAUACUUUGAAUUCGAAGUUAGUUUCCUUUUUCUAUUUAUCUUUUUAUUUAUAACAUACUUUUAUAUCAGUCUUACAAAUGUUCUCAUAAAAAAAAAUUUUUUUUGUGUGUGUGUAUAUAUAUAUUUUUUUUUUUUUUUUUAAGUUAUAUGUAUAACAUAUUGUAUACAAAACAUAUAUAUACAUUUUUUUUUUUUUUUUCUUUUAAAGUGUUAUUUGUUAAAAAACAUAAAAAAAAUAUUGAAAUUAAUAACUAUGUUUGUGUAUUUUAGUUUACGACUCAUAGCUUUGUAAUUUUUUUUUUUUUUUUUUUUAUGAUGUAAUUGACAUAAUGUAUAACCAUUAAUAUAAUAAAUAGAAAAAGUUAGAUAACUAAUUUUGUCUU
Molecule: long non-coding RNA, 1294 nt
Filed under: Piliocolobus tephrosceles (Ugandan red Colobus)
Lineage: Eukaryota; Metazoa; Chordata; Mammalia; Primates; Cercopithecidae
Description: lncRNA (ENSPTEG00000016226.1)
Source: RNAcentral